RNAcentral lists this ribosomal RNA (207 nucleotides) under uncultured bacterium. RNAcentral's name for it is "partial 16S ribosomal RNA". It matches the Rfam family "Bacterial small subunit ribosomal RNA", at positions 1298 to 1500 of the family's 1533-position model. The record is from RNAcentral.
CUGCAGCCUGCAACCCGGCUGCACGAAGCUGGAAUCGCUAGUAAUCGCGGAUCAGCAUGCCGCGGUGAAUACGUUCCCGGGCCUUGUACACACCGCCCGUCACACCAUGGAAGUCUGCAAUGCCCGAAGCCGGUGGCCUAACCACUUAUGUGGAAGGAGCCGUCUAAGGCAGGGCAGAUGACUGGGGUGAAGUCGUAACAAGGUACC